UUUCCGUAGGUGAACCUGCGGAAGGAUCAUUAAUAAAAGGAUACCCUCGGGUAUACCCCAUCCGUGUCUACAUACUCUUGUUGCUUUGGCAGGCCGUGGUCUCCCACUGUGGGCUCUGCCUGCAUGUGCCUGCCAGAGGACCAAACUCUGAAUGUUAGUGAUGUCUGAGUACUAUAUAAUAGUUAAAACUUUCAACAACGGAUCUCUUGGUUCUGGCAUCGAUGAAGAACGCAGC
RNAcentral lists this unclassified non-coding RNA (235 nucleotides) under uncultured fungus. Its description in RNAcentral is "sequence contains ITS1, 5.8S rRNA gene". The stretch from base 187 to 235 matches the Rfam family "5.8S ribosomal RNA", at positions 1 to 49 of the family's 154-position model. The record is from RNAcentral. Lineage: Eukaryota; Fungi.